UCCUCAAUGGCAUCCUCAUUACCACAACCACCUCCUCUCCCCUCUCUCCACUUCACCUUCUCUCCACUCUCUUGAAAUCCUAACAUUUUCACUUCUUCACUCUCCCUCUCACUCUCUUGAAACUCUAACAUUUUCACUUCUUCACUCUCCCUCUCACUCUCUUGAAACCCUACCAUUUUCACUUCUUCACUCUCCCUCUUACUACUCAACACAUACCACCUCUCCCACUCACUCAACACCACCACCACCUCCCCCACUAACUCAACACCAUCACCAAGUCCCCCACUCACUCAACACCACCACCACCUCCCCCGCUCACUCAACACCACCACCACAUCCGCCCACUCAACACCACCACCACCUUCACCCACUCAACACCACCACCACCUCCGCCCACCACCUCUAUCGUUUCUCUUUCUUCUUUUUUUUUUUUCAUUUCUUCUUCUUCUUCUUCUUCUUCAAAUCCGAAAAACUCUCACUCAACACCACCACCUCCCCCACUCACUCAACACCACCACCUCCCCCACUCACUCAACACCACCACCACCUCCCCCACUCACUCAACACCACCACCACAUCCGCCCACUCAACACCACCACCACCUCCACCCACUCAAAACCACCACCACCUCCGCCCACCACCUCUGUCGUUUCUCUUUCUUUUUUUUUCAUUUCUUCUUCUUCUUCUUCUUCAAAUCCGAAAAACUCUCGCUCAUAGCUAGAAAAAAUUUCAAACACUAAUAUUCAAAACAAAUCUCAAAUACUCAAAACCCUCUUAAUCUUAAUUUCUAUUUUUAGAUAUGUUUGUUUAAUCUGUACUUUUUUAUUUGCAAAUAGAUAUUAGUUUAUUUCUUUUAGUUUUUGUUGAUGCAUGUCUUUAUUUUUGAAGAUUUAUGUUUUUUGUUUGAAGAUUUAAGUUUCGGAUUUGAGAUAUUUUCUGGUUUUUUCAUUUUAUUUUCAAAUAUUUAUGUUGUGUUUGUUAAAGUAUGAAUAAACAAGAAAAACAAGUUUUUUUUUGGGUUAAUAUUUUCCUAUUUCUUUUCUUAUAUGUAUAGAUGAACUGUGUCUCUGUCAUAUCUCAAACACUAUCUCCCUCAUAUUUCAGACACUAUGGUUUGGUUUUGUUAAUUUCCAAGAUUAACAUGUUAGUUUAGUCGUAUUGUCUGUAUUUUUUUUAUUUGCAAAUAGAGUUCUGUUUGAUGAGUUUAUUUCUUGUAAUUGUUACUGUAUGUCAUUAUUUAUUAUUAUUGGAAAUACUAAUGAAAUUAAUUAAUAUAUAUUUUUAUUUGUGAAUAGAGAUUUAUUUGAUGAGUUUAUUUCUUGGAGUUUAUUUGAUGAGUUUAUUUUCAAUAGUAAAAAUAUUAUUUUUAUUAUUUAAGAUAAUAAUAAAAUUAAUUAAUAUAUCUUUUGUAGUUUUGUUACUGUAUGUCAUUAAAUUAAUAAAUUAUUAUUUAUGUCAUUAUUGUACUAUAGAUUAAUUAAUAUUUGUUAUUGUGUGUCAUUAUUGUACGGCAUAUAUUAAUUAAUAUUUGUUACUGUAUGAUAUUAUUGUUAUGUCAUUAUCGUAUUUACUUUCCACUAAUUUUUGUUUUUUCACUCAAUAUUUUCCCUCCACUUAUUUUUACUUUUCACUCAUAAUUAUUUUCACUUUCAGUCAUAAAAAUAUUCCCACUCUUUUUA
RNAcentral lists this long non-coding RNA (1679 nucleotides) under Cicer arietinum (chickpea). Its description in RNAcentral is "long non-coding RNA (CARI_LNC003606)". The record is from RNAcentral. Lineage: Eukaryota; Viridiplantae; Streptophyta; Magnoliopsida; Fabales; Fabaceae.